GACGAACGCUGGCGGCGUGCUUAACACAUGCAAGUCGAACGGCAAGGCCCUGCUUUUGUGGUCUUCUCGAUUGCCCAUCGGGUGAGUAACACGUGUGUAUCCUUCCCUUCACUUUGGUAUAUCUUCAGGUAACUGGGCCUAUUACCCUAUAGCAUCUCCUGCUGCAUGGUGGGGGUUGGAAAGUUUCGGCGGUUGGGGAUGGACUCGCGGCUUAUCUGCUUGUUGGUGGGGUAGUGGCUUACCAAGGGUUUGACGGAUACCCGGCCUGAGAGGGUGACCGGAGACAAGGGGACUGAGAUACGGAGCAGAGGGCAACGGGAGGCAGCAGUGGGGAAUAUUGCACAAUGGGAGGAAGGCUGAGGAAGAAACGCGGGGGGCGGGAAGACGGCCUUCGGGUAGUAAAAAGAAAUAGGAUGAGACGAAGCGUGAGUGACGGUAAUGGGUAAAGAAGCACCGGCUAACUACGUG
This 468-nucleotide ribosomal RNA is filed under the name uncultured bacterium. RNAcentral's name for it is "partial 16S ribosomal RNA". It matches the Rfam family "Bacterial small subunit ribosomal RNA", at positions 28 to 507 of the family's 1533-position model. The record is from RNAcentral.